CUUUGGUAUGAAAUACCAUGAACUGUUAGUGAUGAUUUACGUUUGUUGUUCAGAAUUCAGUUGUUUACUCACUAAGUUUAUGACGUCUCCUCCAGCGAACUGAUCCGAUGAUGAGCUCGUGGAGUUAUCAAUAAACUAGCUGGAGUAUUCUCCUUUUUUUCUGCUUGACAUAUGGCUUGUCGGACAGGUUUCAUGUCUGUAGCUCCAUUAAUAAUGUAGUCCACACAGCAGCCGUCUGGAGCACGCUGAAGCGUAGUUUGGUUGCUUAGCAACCGUGGAAACCUCCUCCAGAAAAGAUCAUUGUAGAACAGAAAGAGUUUAUAGUUUGUACAUUUUUAUUUUUAUAAGGGAAGCUAUUGUUUUUAAUGCAUAAAGCUGUACAUAAUAUUUAAAAAGAAGGAUUAUAAAACAUACAAGCCUCAGACUGACACAAUCACAAAACUACGUCAUCUUUUCUUUAUUUAAAUCGAUUGGUCCAAUGACUGUUAUUCGGGGCGUGGCUAUCUUUGAAUGCUGCUUUCUGAUUGGCUACGUACUGAAAACACACUACACUAGUUAACUACAGUGAAGUUUAGACCCAGCCAGCGAAGUUAUUUGAAGUUUUACUACAGUUAAAGUGAGAAGAAAAGCCGCCGUUGUUCGAACUGGAUCGCCUAACGCUUCCCAGAUUUCCUGUUCCUGUGUGGAAUAAUUACCGAGGGCUGCUAACAGGAGAGGUAGUGACGCAAAACACAAAAUAUAUAAAAGCAGCUGUGUGGACUGGCGCUCGGGACUGCAUCUUAGCCCGCAUGGACUUACCUGGCCCUUGCUGUAACAAAUUUAGCCACAUUUAAAGGAUUUU
RNAcentral lists this long non-coding RNA (841 nucleotides) under Oryzias sinensis (Chinese medaka). Its description in RNAcentral is "lncRNA (ENSOSIG00000000885.1)". The record is from RNAcentral. Lineage: Eukaryota; Metazoa; Chordata; Actinopteri; Beloniformes; Adrianichthyidae.